This is a long non-coding RNA of Aquila chrysaetos chrysaetos, 1081 nucleotides long. RefSeq lists it as uncharacterized. The record is from RefSeq and is a predicted model, not a curated record. NCBI's taxonomy places the organism in Eukaryota, Metazoa, Chordata, Aves, Accipitriformes, Accipitridae. The transcript has 4 exons.
CAGACCUACAGCAAUUCCUCUAGAGGCCUCCUCUCCAAAUGCAGAAUAAUUUUCUAAGGGAUUGAUGGCGAUUGCCAAAACCUCUCUGCCCUGAAGCCAGCAAGUGGAAACGUUUCCGUUUCUCCUCUGGAUCUGACCCGAAGUCCCGGGACCCGAUGCCAUUCUGAAGAUUUAUUAGUGAAUCCUUCAUCUGCAAGACAAGAAAUUUCUCCACUGUGAUGCUACCCUACAGGUGAGAGCGCUUCAGGGUUUCCUUCCUCAUUGGUGCCUCCUCCGUCCAUGUAAAGUACCAAUACCAGAAUCAUCUGGUUUUUGGGAACGGCGCGUCAGGGCUUGGAUGUACAAAUGGGGACUGAGGAGACGGGAGCCCGUGAGAGACCAUUCCCCAAGAUAACAGAGAAGGGGCGAGCAGAAUGAGGUACAGGGUGCGUGGCUCUCUCCAUAGGGGAGGACGGCUUUCAUUUAUGAACCCUGUUCCUAGCAGCCUGGUGUACAAGCAGCUCUUCAGGCAGCGGAUACUGAAACCCCUGGCUUUGUGCUAUUAAGGGCCCAGGCAGAGCAUGUCCCCCGCUUCAUCCGUGCAAGCUACGUAUGAAUCCAGGGUUGAGAAUUCUAUCCUUGACAUGUGCAGACCCCUGUGAGGUGACGGAGAAGCUGCGGUAUCCUGCAAAUAACCCUUGGGACCUGCUGCUCACCGCUACGUCAGAAGACGGAUCUAGAGGGAGGCAGCAGCGGAGGUGACGCACUUGAGGGACUACAGUGGAACCAGAAAUCGUCUCUCAACGGUCCAGCUUCUUCCUGAGAUGGUAUCUCUCAUCAAAAUCGCCACCCAGGACCAGACGUGAAUAGGUUUUGCCAGACCAAAGAAGUGACAGACUUCUCACAUACACUGAGCCCUGUUGUGAUAGCACAGUAAUUCCCAGAGAGCUUUGCGUGGUCAUCUUUCAUGAUAACAGCUAGUUUGUUGGCAGAUUACAUUAAAUGACUUAUUUUAAAUUAAAAGACCCCCCACAGUUCCUAGAAACCUCUAAACUGAGUCCCUGAAAUAAAAAAGACUCUCUCUACUUGUUGGAUUUCUUCU